RNAcentral lists this ribosomal RNA (400 nucleotides) under uncultured bacterium. RNAcentral describes it as "bacterial SSU rRNA". It matches the Rfam family "Bacterial small subunit ribosomal RNA", at positions 358 to 773 of the family's 1533-position model. The record is from RNAcentral.
GGAAUCUUGGGCAAUGGACGAAAGUCUGACCCAGCGACGCCGCGUGAGGGAUGAAGGCCUUCGGGUCGUAAACCUCUUUUAUGGGAGAAGAAGAUCUGACGGUAUCCCAUGAAUAAGCCCCGGCUAACUACGUCCCAGCAGCCGCGGUAAUACGUAGGUGGCGAGCGUUGUCCGGAUUUACUGGGCGUAAAGGGCUUGUAGGCGGGCCGUUAAGUCCGAUGUGAAAUCUCCCGGCUCAACUGGGAGAGGUCAUUGGAUACUGGCGGACUAGAGGGGGGUAGAGGAAAGCAGAAUUCCUGGUGUAGCGGUGAAAUGCGUAGAUAUCAGGAGGAAUACCAGUGGCGAAGGCGGCUUUCUGGGCCUACCCUGACGCUGAGGAGCGAAAGCGUGGGGAGCAAAC